UGAUGUACUUGGCUUCCUUGUUCAAAUCAAUGAACCAGAAUGGGUUCAUUUUGCUAACCAAGCAACGCCUGCAUUGCGAAGGGACAUUGUCAUUAGAGAUGACAAGCAUGUGGAACUAAAAGUAUCUAUAUGGGGUCGUCGUGUUAGAGAUUUCUUGCCCACUGAUAUGGCAAUAGAAUCUAACAAUAAUCCCAUUAUUCUGCUUCUAACUGGAUGUUUAGUCAAGUUAUACCAAGGCCAACCUUACCUGAGUGGAAAUUCUGCAUGCCAUUGGUAUUUUAAUCCAAAUAUACCUGAAGCUGAAGUUCUACUCAGAUCCUUGCAUGGAAGUGACAUAGCAAUAAGACGUGUUGGUACUCCUCUUGUUGAUG
Panicum virgatum (switchgrass) is the source of this 371-nucleotide long non-coding RNA. RefSeq lists it as uncharacterized. The transcript has 4 exons. The record is from RefSeq and is a predicted model, not a curated record. Lineage: Eukaryota; Viridiplantae; Streptophyta; Magnoliopsida; Poales; Poaceae.